GUCCUACGGGAGGCAGCAGUAGGGAAUUUUCGUCAAUGGGCGCAAGCCUGAACGAGCGAUGCCGCGUGAGUGAAGAAGGCCUUCGGGUCGUAAAGCUCUGUUGCGGGGGAAAAAAGGCAGCAUCAGGAAAUGGGUGCUGACUGAUGGUGCCCCGCCAGAAAGUCACGGCUAACUACGUGCCAGCAGCCGCGGUAAUACGUAGGUGGCAAGCGUUGUCCGGAAUUACUAGGUGUAAAGGGAGCGCAGGCGGGAAGCCAAGUCAGCUGUGAAAACUACGGGCUUAACUUGUAGA
Molecule: ribosomal RNA, 292 nt
Filed under: uncultured bacterium
Lineage: Bacteria
Description: partial 16S ribosomal RNA
Rfam family: Bacterial small subunit ribosomal RNA
Source: RNAcentral